GUUGGUUGCCUGCACAUGUCAAUAGAGUGCCCAGUGAAAGUUAAGUGACAGAAAGAAAAAGAAACCCGACGCACGUUUCGGUGCUUCGGUAGUGUGGCUCCUCACCCAUUAUGACCAGUCACUGCAGACCUACAAUCCCCACAUAAUUAAAAGGAGCUAACAUAUAGCGUAUCAGGUUCAUGUUCGUGCUUCCAAAAAGUAUGGUGCAGAUGGGACAUCUUCCAGUCCCAGGUUACUGCCCCUUCAUCCCAGGUCACUGUCCUUCCUGCUUUAGUCUCUUUGAUUUACGUUGGUUAGAAAUGCAUUUUUUGUUCUGUUAAAACUAUGUAAGGCCGAGCAUCAACUUUUUAUGUGUGAAUGUCGUAGUGCCAAUAACAGUAUUGAGAUGUGAGAUGUUAGAAGAAUUUUGCAAUUAUGUAUCUUUGGAAAAUCCUGGCAACAUUUAGUUUAAAAAAGUUGCCAAUGGCGGAGCUAAGCACUGAAAGAAAACAGACGUGUCUGCACACCGCUCCGGGCCAAAACGCAAUAAACCCAGAUCGCCCAGCGGAAUUUCACCCCAAAAACGCACAAAACAUAGCCCCGACCAAACAUCUUUUGGAGGAGUGGUGAUAGUAUUCCCCCUUCUCUUAUUUUCUAAGUAACUCUGAAGGUCGGAUCAUCCACAGGUCGUAUAAGUAUCUAUUAUUUAAUAUUUAUAAACUGUAUUACACAUGAUUGCUACUAGAUUGCUGAUAACUGUAUGAUAAUAUUUUCAAGUACUUCUCCUUGACACGCUAAGGCACCUAACCUAGGGGAAAAAUUAUGGCUAUGUAAGACACCAGACUCUAGAAGAUGAAGGGACAGGGGAGGAGGGGCAUCGGGACAGCU
Molecule: non-coding RNA, 867 nt
Organism: Pelobates cultripes (western spadefoot toad)
Lineage: Eukaryota; Metazoa; Chordata; Amphibia; Anura; Pelobatidae
Source: the annotation of a GenBank genome assembly